RNAcentral lists this ribosomal RNA (497 nucleotides) under uncultured bacterium. Its description in RNAcentral is "partial 16S ribosomal RNA". It matches the Rfam family "Bacterial small subunit ribosomal RNA", at positions 28 to 507 of the family's 1533-position model. The record is from RNAcentral.
GAUGAACGCUGGCGGCGUGCCUAAUACAUGCAAGUCGAGCGAACAGACGAGGAGCUUGCUCCUCUGACGUUAGCGGCGGACGGGUGAGUAACACGUGGAUAACCUACCUAUAAGACUGGGAUAACUUCGGGAAACCGGAGCUAAUACCGGAUCAUAUAUUGAACCGCAUGGUUCAAUAGUGAAAGACGGUUUUGCUGUCACUUAUAGAUGGAUCCGCGUCGCAUUAGCUAGUUGGUAAGGUAACGGCUUACCAAGGCAACGAUGCGUAGCCGACCUGAGAGGGUGAUCGGCCACACUGGAACUGAGACACGGUCCAGACUCCUACGGGAGGCAGCAGUAGGGAAUCUUCCGCAAUGGGCGAAAGCCUGACGGAGCAACGCCGCGUGAGUGAUGAAGGUCUUCGGAUCGUAAAACUCUGUUAUUAGGGAAGAACAAAUGUGUAAGUAACUAUGCACGUCUUGACGGUACCUAAUCAGAAAGCCACGGCUAACUACGUG